Molecule: ribosomal RNA, 432 nt
Filed under: uncultured bacterium
Lineage: Bacteria
Description: partial 16S ribosomal RNA
Rfam family: Bacterial small subunit ribosomal RNA
Source: RNAcentral
AACGAACGCUGGCGGCAUGCCUAACACAUGCAAGUCGAACGAGACCUUCGGGUCUAGUGGCGCACGGGUGCGUAACGCGUGGGAACCUGCCCUUAGGUUCGGAAUAACUCCCCGAAAGGGGUGCUAAUACCGGAUAAUGUCUUCGGACCAAAGAUUUAUCGCCUUUGGAUGGGCCCGCGUUGGAUUAGCUAGUUGGUAGGGUAAAAGCCUACCAAGGCGACGAUCCAUAGCUGGUCUGAGAGGAUGAUCAGCCACACUGGGACUGAGACACGGCCCAGACUCCUGCGGGAGGCAGGAGGGGGGAAAAUGGGACAGUGGGCGAAAGCCGGAUCCAGCAAUGCCGGGUGGGUGAUGAAGGCCUUGGGGUUGUAAAGCUCUUUUACCGGGGAUGAUAAGGACGGGACCGGGAAAAUAAGCCCCGGCUAACUCCGG